Long non-coding RNA from Anthonomus grandis grandis, 372 nucleotides. RefSeq lists it as uncharacterized. Lineage: Eukaryota; Metazoa; Arthropoda; Insecta; Coleoptera; Curculionidae. The record is from RefSeq and is a predicted model, not a curated record. The transcript has 2 exons.
CCUUUCCUCUUCGAAUCUCGCCAUUUUCCACGAUAUACCGUGUCGCACUACAUAAAAAUAAUUAUUAGUCUUGUUUUUUUCGGUUUUCGCUUGACGAAUCCCAAAGAGCGGUCUAAUUAAGGUGAGAAAAAAAAAGGUCAAAGGAUGGUCCGCCGACGUAGGGACAACAGUUAAAGGGUUGGUUUGUUAGGUGAUAAUAUACACCCUUGUGUACGUCAUUAAUUAAAUUAUGUUAAAUUUGCUUGAGGUUUAAUUUAAGAUUGGAGCACCACGGUGGAAGGCGUAAAGGCAUAAAUCCUCGUAUAUAGUUAUUUAAUAAAUUCAUCACCUCUGAAGUAUUAAAUUUUUUGAAAUGUAUAAUAGUUUUAUAGU